AAUGUAGCUUAGUGGUAGAGUGUAUGCUUAGCAUGCAGGAGGCCCUAGGCUCAAUUCCUAGUGUU
This 65-nucleotide transfer RNA is filed under the name Heterocephalus glaber (naked mole-rat). It matches the Rfam family "tRNA". Rfam says of the family: Transfer RNA (tRNA) molecules are approximately 80 nucleotides in length. Their secondary structure includes four short double-helical elements and three loops (D, anti-codon, and T loops). Lineage: Eukaryota; Metazoa; Chordata; Mammalia; Rodentia; Bathyergidae. The record is from Rfam by way of RNAcentral.